AACGAACGCUGGCGGCAUGCCUAACACAUGCAAGUCGAACGCCUGUAGCAAUACAGGAGUGGCAGACGGGUGCAUAACACGUGGGAACCUACCCUAGGGUUCGGAAUAACCGCGGAAAACUGCGGCUAAUACCGGAUACGUCCUUCGGGAGAAAGAUUCAUCGCCCUUGGAGGGGCCCGCGUCGGAUUAGCUAGUUGGUGAGGUAACGGCUCACCAAGGCGACGAUCCGUAGCUGAUCUGAGAGGAUGAUCAGCCACACUGGAACUGAGACACGGUCCAGACUCCUACGGGAGGCAGCAGUGGGGAAUAUUGGACAAUGGGGGCAACCCUGAUCCAGCAAUGCCGCGUGGGUGAUGAAGGCCUUCGGGUUGUAAAGCCCUUUUGGCAGGGACGAUGAUGACGGUACCUGCAGAAUAAGCCCCGGCUAACUUCGUGCCAGCCGCCGCGGUAA
RNAcentral lists this ribosomal RNA (451 nucleotides) under uncultured bacterium. RNAcentral describes it as "partial 16S ribosomal RNA". It matches the Rfam family "Bacterial small subunit ribosomal RNA", at positions 29 to 523 of the family's 1533-position model. The record is from RNAcentral.